UAACCCCUUCUUUUUCUUUCCUGGUUCUCGUUGGUGCCUGAGGUGGUAGGUUUGGGUUCUGUCUCUUUAGGGCAGAAUGCCAGUUGCCAGGAGUUGGGUAUGUCGGAAGACUUACGUUACCCCCAGGCGGCCUUUUGAAAAAUCACGCCUUGAUCAGGAAUUGAAGCUUAUUGGUGAAUAUGGGCUGCGGAACAAGCGUGAGGUAUGGCGAGUGAAGUUCACUUUGGCCAAGAUCCGCAAAGCUGCCCGAGAGCUGCUCACCCUAGAUGAGAAAGAUCAGCGGCGCCUUUUUGAAGGCAAUGCCUUGCUACGCCGUUUGGUCAGAAUUGGGGUGCUGGAUGAAGGGAAAAUGAAACUGGAUUACAUCCUGGGUCUGAAAAUUGAGGAUUUCCUGGAGCGUCGUCUCCAAACCCAGGUCUUCAAAUUGGGCCUGGCUAAGUCCAUCCAUCAUGCUCGUGUUCUUAUCCGCCAGAGACACAUCCGCCUGUGCAGUGAUAACUGUGGCCCCGGCCCUGGCUUGGGCCUUUAUAUACCACCAAACCCUUUUGUGGAUCGAUUCCUUGGAUAGCUCAAUAGACUAGCAGUGUCAAAGCAACUCUCAAAGAUUUCGGCAAGGUUCACUGCGGCUUGGCCGUACACCUUGUGAAGGUCUGCUACAUAGGUGGUCAAGUGUAAGGAAGCAAGUGGUGAACAUCCCUUCCUUCAUUGUCCGGCUAGAUUCCCAAAAGCACAUUGAUUUCUCCCUCCGUUCACCUUACGGUGGAGGCCGACCAGGUCGCGUCAAGAGGAA
RNA transcript from Pseudonaja textilis, 790 nucleotides. It is a transcript of the gene named small ribosomal subunit protein uS4, with no coding region annotated. Lineage: Eukaryota; Metazoa; Chordata; Lepidosauria; Squamata; Elapidae. The record is from RefSeq and is a predicted model, not a curated record.